Molecule: ribosomal RNA, 341 nt
Filed under: uncultured bacterium
Lineage: Bacteria
Description: bacterial SSU rRNA
Rfam family: Bacterial small subunit ribosomal RNA
Source: RNAcentral
AAUCAACGCUGGCGGCGUGCCUCAGACAUGCAAGUCGAACGCGAAAGUCCCCUUCGGGGAGUGAUUAGAGUGGCGCACGGGUGAGUAACACGUAGGUAAUCUACCUUCGAGUGGGGAAGUAACUCAGGGAAACGUUAGAGCUAAUACCGCAUAAUGCAGCGGCACCACAUGGUGACAGUUGCUAAAGACAUUUAUGCGCUUGAAGAGGAGCCUGCGGCGGAUUAGCUAGUUGGUAAGGUAAUGGCUUACCAAGGCUACGAUCUGUAACCGGCCUGAGGAGGGCGGACGGUCACACUGACACUGAAUAACGGGUCAGACUCCUACGGGAGGCAGCAGUCGGG